AUUGAACGCUGGCGGCAGGCCUAACACAUGCAAGUCGAGCGGAUGAAGGGAGCUUGCUCCUGGAUUCAGCGGCGGACGGGCGAGUAAUGCCUAGGAAUCUGCCUGGUAGUGGGGGAUAACGUCCGGAAACGGGCGCUAAUACCGCAUACGUCCUGAGGGAGAAAGUGGGGGAUCUUCGGACCUCACGCUAUCAGCUGAGCCUAGGUCGGAUUAGCUAGUUGGUGGGGUAAAGGCCUACCAAGGCGACGAUCCGUAACUGGUCUGAGAGGCUGAUCAGUCACACUGGAACUGAGACACGGUCCAGACUCCUACGGGAGGCAGCAGUGGGGAAUAUUGGACCAUGGGCGAAAGCCUGAUCCAGCCAUGCCGCGUGUGUGAAGAAGGUCUUCGGAUUGUAAAGCACUUUAAGUUGGGAGGAAGGGCAGUAAGUUAAUACCUUGCUGUUUUGACGUUACCAACAGAAUAAGCACCGGCUAACUUCGUG
Molecule: ribosomal RNA, 484 nt
Filed under: uncultured bacterium
Lineage: Bacteria
Description: partial 16S ribosomal RNA
Rfam family: Bacterial small subunit ribosomal RNA
Source: RNAcentral